Molecule: small nucleolar RNA, 122 nt
Organism: Cavia aperea (Brazilian guinea pig)
Lineage: Eukaryota; Metazoa; Chordata; Mammalia; Rodentia; Caviidae
Source: Ensembl
UUUUUGUGGGGAUGGAAGAGGCCUUCAGUCAUUAGAAAUGCUCAAGCACAAAGAAAAGGUAAGAUUUCCUACUAAGUUUUCUGUCUGCUACCUUGUUAGCAAUCAACCUAUUGGGAACAUUA